Molecule: long non-coding RNA, 1141 nt
Filed under: Salmo salar (Atlantic salmon)
Lineage: Eukaryota; Metazoa; Chordata; Actinopteri; Salmoniformes; Salmonidae
Description: lncRNA (ENSSSAG00000115954.1)
Source: RNAcentral
CACAAGCGCACAGCCACUGCUUGCUCCUCGUCAUCUCCCAACAGUUCAGUGGCGAGCAUCAGUUAUAUUUCAGAUGGUGUCAACAUCAUUAAAUUGUUAUGCAUUUUGGAGUAGAACGUCCUUUUAAAAAGUUACCAGAAGUGACCUUCUUACAGUUGUUCUACAAAACGUGUACAGCCUCAAAGAACCAGAAUGCCGUGGCUGGCCUCCAUGCCGAUCUUCCCACCGCCCUGCCCGCCUGAGCUCACCAGCUGUCCCGCCCCUCUCCGCAUGCAUGGACGGCUCGGGGCCUCCACCAUCCCGCCAAUCUACAGAACCCCUCUCCUCUCAUGCCUCUGAGGCAUGCAAAGGCAGGCCUCUAGUGCUGUUGGACAGGACCAUUUCCUGGCUACAGAAGAUCUGGGAGGGGUGGGGGGGUCCAGAAGCAGUCCGUAAACAUCCCGGACGCCAUGGCUCCACCGCUGCCGAGGGCCUUCCAUCUCUCUCUGUCCCCCCUCAAUCAUCCGUUCCAUUCUCAUUUUCCCACUGAAUCCACGUUCUCACAUCGGUUUCCUCAAUAAAUAUUCUAAGCCCAUUUCAUGGCCUGUCCUUAAACCCAUGAGUAUGUUUUAUUAUGAGCCAGUCGUAUCUAUAGCUAGGUUUCUGUCUAACUGUUGAUAUUUUCAUGCAAGUACUCCAAAAUCUACAUAAAAACAAUAAGCAUGUUCUGCUGCCAGAGAUAUUUCCAUCAAAUUGACUUGUUGCAGAUAAGGCUGUGCGUGAUGACGUAGUGCACAUAAAUACCUGUGUGCAGUUAAAUUCCCAUAUACCGAAUAAAAUGGGCUUCCAAUGCAUUUUCAACUCUACUCUGAAAAUGUGCCAUAGUGAGUGUGCCCACUCUGCUUCUGGCUCGGUAUUGACACGUGCAUUCCAUGCUGUUGGCAAGAGUGCAUGUAUAGCAUACAUGAUGAGAUUAUUAUAGAUGAAAGAGCAAUAUUUUUGUUUGUCAAACGACAGCCAAGCAUCGACGGUCAUGUCACCAGAAUAAGUCCCUCCAUUUUUUAUUGGAAAGGAGCGUCAAGCUCAUCACCUUGCACUUUCACCACCUUGGGAAGUUCCUAACUUGUUUCAUCUGUAGCCUAAUAAACUGCAUGCUUUCCCG